Molecule: long non-coding RNA, 2371 nt
Organism: Asterias rubens (European starfish)
Lineage: Eukaryota; Metazoa; Echinodermata; Asteroidea; Forcipulatida; Asteriidae
Exons: 3
Source: RefSeq, a predicted model, not a curated record
CAACUUCCGCCACACAGCAAAUUUCACUUGUCAACAUCGGUUGUUGAUGUAAGCACACUAAAUUCACUGGUUAUUCGUCUGAAAAUUGAAGUUAUAUCUGUCAUUGUACCAACAGAGGAAGAAACCAGCUGUUAAACGAACACUUGCUUAACAGAGAUAACAGCUUGGGCAAUGCCGUCCUUGGAAUGGUGAAAUUGUGGCAGUAACUUUUCCCCCGGACCGGACACACGGUGGCAUUUUCGUUGGCAGAUUUCCUGGCCCGGGAAAGUGACCGGAUACAGGCAGCAGGAAUAGCACACUGGAGCUAGCUCACGUGUGGGCACGUCGGCUCUGUUGAAUUGUUUUUCUUCUUGUUAGAAACAACGGAGAGUUCAUAUCAAAGUAACCUUUGAUCGUCAUGGUUCAUAUAUUGUACCUUCUCUGUUGACCACAACCAAUAACAAACAAACAGACCUUGAAGUCCACUUUAUAAACAAGCACCAGCCUCAAGACAUUUCCUCCCUCACUACAUUCUCUCUUCACUAACGGAGGAGAGGACCUCCCAGCAAGUUCAUGCAGUGACUGUCUUUGACUUCGCCAAAUGGCAAAAUUCUCUAUGAUUCCACACCGAGCCAUGUUACAAAAUAGACUUUCAGUGGUGUUGGUGGUCGUCGUGGUAGUGGCUGUACUAUUUCUAGAGAGACAGAUCCACCAGUUAAACUACUCGUUACGUAGAAUUGCUGACGGUUUUAUCACCCGUGUGUGUGUUAAUUUUAAGCUCGGUGGCCUACGACAAACAUGAGCUGUAUGGUGCGCUAUGAAGUGUUGGCGAUGCUGGAAGCAAUAUCAUGACAUUGCCUUCACACCCCGCGAAUUGGUCUCUCCGAGAAGAGAAUUGGCGGGAUCAAAGAUAAUUGUCUCUCGGUGUUGGAUGACCUAUCUAAACAUUAAUGAUGUUAACUCUUUUGAAACUUGUCCCCUCCCUAAAUAUUAUCCGAGUUUGGCAAAACACACUCGAGAAAAGUCACUUUUUUAGUUUGUUGGUCAACAUGUAGUGAAAUGAGCACACGCUUCUUGUUAGGUUGACAUACGUUGGUGCAUCUGCAUACAUUGACUUGGGUUCAGUUACACAGUUAAGUCCACAGUUGAAUUGCACAGGGCCAAUUUCAUGGCGCUGCUUAACCACAUAUUUCUGAGCUUAAAGCGUGUGAUUCUAAUUACAAAACCUGUGAUAUCAAAAGAGCCUUCCUUCAGGCAAAAUUUUGUUCACGGGUCAAGGGAAAAAACCCGUUAAAUCUCCUAUUUCAUGGAGAUCACAUCACGUUGAUCACAUCAACUUUUCAAUAUGAAGAAAGUAUGCACAUCACAAAACUGUUACCAAGUUUGUGUAUUUAACUCUAAGUACACUCAGGUGGAAAUAAACGCAGAAAAUGUCAAACUUCUCCUUAAUAUGACCAGCGUAGUAUCUUGCCUGCCAGGAAAUGCCAUGGCAUGUACAAGAGUGCCCUUUUGUAAACAAGGGUCACAUGGCAUUGCAUAUAAGGCUGAACAUGUGCAGAAUUAUUCAGAAAACAGAGUUAGAAAUUGUGCACAGUACAGAUUCCACACAGUGUCUUCAAUGCACUUUAAAUUGAACCAAGACCCAUCACAUCCAUAUUUAAGAGUAUAAUACAGAAAUAACACAAGGCUGGUUGAAGGCACUGUAAUGGCUCGGCAAUUUCUCAGCAUACAGAGUAGACAAUCUGUCAGAAUACAGAACACAUUCACCUGGUUUUACUGAGAUUUGACAAUGUACUGGAAGGUGGUUGUGAAUACAGUGCCUUCAUAACAGAAUCAGGAAGCCUGUCACCCUGACAUCCAUUAGUUCUGUAUGUCUUCAUUUGUCAUUUUUUUGAGUGUACAGAAGAACUGCGGUUAGGUUUGGACUACUUCCUGAUUCUAAUUCUAGUGAAAGUCUUGCCCCUGUGAACUUCUUUCCUGGAUAUAUGUAAACAUUGGACUUUUGUUUUGAUGGAUAUAGAUCCACCAACAUUCUCAAAUUAGUUAUAGCUAAGUUGAAACUAGCAAUUCAGUUCUGUUACAGUGAUUAUAUGGUACAUUUUAUACAACAGGUACUCACUCUUAAAAUUGUUUUAGCAGCUUUCGUAAAUACAUGUAAAGCAAGGGAAUAAAGGCUCUGUAUAUUUGUGUAAGAUUUCACAGACUGAGCAGUGUUAACUGGUCUUUCCUUUCUGAAUUUAAAGUGCAUGUCAUAAAAGUACAAACAGGAUAACAUGCAGAUCAGUGGUUCUAAAGAUUGUGUUGAAUUUCUCUUAAAUUCUAGAAGCACAUGUACAUGUAGCUAGCAAAAGGCAAGCAAGCUUACCAUGUUUGCUUGUAAAAUUAAGUUCAA